This 366-nucleotide ribosomal RNA is filed under the name uncultured bacterium. Its description in RNAcentral is "partial 16S ribosomal RNA". It matches the Rfam family "Bacterial small subunit ribosomal RNA", at positions 338 to 701 of the family's 1533-position model. The record is from RNAcentral.
CCUACGGGGGGCAGCAGUGAGGAAUAUUGGUCAAUGGACGAGAGUCUGAACCAGCCAAGUAGCGUGAAGGAUGACUGCCCGAUGGGUUGUAAACUUCUGUUAUAAAGGAAUAAAACGAGGCACGUGUGCCGUUUUGCAUGUACUUUAUGAAUAAGGAUCGGCUAACUCCGUGCCAGCAGCCGCGGUAAUACGGAGGAUCCGAGCGUUAUCCGGAUUUAUUGGGUUGAAAGGGAGCGUAGAUGGGUUGUUAAGUCAGUGGUGAAAGUUUGCGGCUCAACCGUAAAAUGGCAAUUGAUACUGGCAGUCUUGAGUACAGUUGAGGUCGGCGGACUUCGUUGUGUCGCGGUGACAUGCUUAGAUAUCACG